Molecule: ribosomal RNA, 319 nt
Filed under: uncultured bacterium
Lineage: Bacteria
Description: bacterial SSU rRNA
Rfam family: Bacterial small subunit ribosomal RNA
Source: RNAcentral
GAUGAACGCUAGCGGCAGGCCUAACACAUGCAAGUCGAGGGGCAGCACGUCUUCGGAUGGUGGCGACCGGCGCACGGGUGCGUAACGCGUAUGCAACCUACCUCUUACAGUGGGAUAGCCCAGAGAAAUUUGGAUUAAUACCGCAUAGUAUGCGACAUCAGCAUUGAUGACGUAUUAAACAUUCAUGGGUAAGAGAUGGGCAUGCGUUCUAUUAGUUAGUUGGAGUGGUAACGGCACCCCAAGACAGCGAUAGAUAGGGCCCGUCGAGAGGGGGAGUCCCCACCACUGGUACGUGAGACACGGACCGACGACUCCUACC